UCACUUUAGAAGUACAUAUACUAAAAUAUGAAUGAUACAAUGGAGAUUAGCAUGACCCCUAUGCGAGAAUGACACAUCAAUACCUGAAGUACUGCAUGUUUGU
This 103-nucleotide small nuclear RNA is filed under the name Neotoma lepida (desert woodrat). The record is from RNAcentral. Lineage: Eukaryota; Metazoa; Chordata; Mammalia; Rodentia; Cricetidae.